GAGGUCUUAUCUUAGUUAAAGUAUCUGGGUUGCAUUCAGGUGAUGGAGGGAAAAGUCCUGCAGGUCUUA
RNAcentral lists this transfer RNA (69 nucleotides) under Pachyhynobius shangchengensis (Shangcheng stout salamander). RNAcentral describes it as "tRNA-Ala". Lineage: Eukaryota; Metazoa; Chordata; Amphibia; Caudata; Hynobiidae. The record is from RNAcentral.